CCAUGUGACUGACGGUAAGUGGGGAACCACGGGGGAGCAUGGGUUUUAUUUCGCCGACCGUCUGGGCAAUCU
This 72-nucleotide non-coding RNA is filed under the name human gut metagenome. RNAcentral's name for it is "ZMP/ZTP riboswitch". It matches the Rfam family "ZMP/ZTP riboswitch aptamer (pfl RNA motif)". From Rfam's summary of the family: Previously known as pfl RNA. ZMP is also known as AICAR. The record is from RNAcentral.